This 72-nucleotide transfer RNA is filed under the name Camelus bactrianus (Bactrian camel). It matches the Rfam family "tRNA". From Rfam's summary of the family: Transfer RNA (tRNA) molecules are approximately 80 nucleotides in length. Their secondary structure includes four short double-helical elements and three loops (D, anti-codon, and T loops). Lineage: Eukaryota; Metazoa; Chordata; Mammalia; Artiodactyla; Camelidae. RNAcentral also lists the same sequence under 2 other names. The record is from Rfam by way of RNAcentral.
GAGUGUAGAGCUCAGUGGUAGAGUGUGUGCUUAGCAUGCACGAGGUCCUGGGUUCAAUCCCCAGUACCUCCA